This is a non-coding RNA of Triticum aestivum (bread wheat), 158 nucleotides long. NCBI's taxonomy places the organism in Eukaryota, Viridiplantae, Streptophyta, Magnoliopsida, Poales, Poaceae. The record is from Rfam.
CAUGUACUCCCGCCGUUCCAAAUUACUUGUCUUAGAUUUGUCUAGAUACGGAUGUAUGUAUUGUUUAGAUACGGAUGUAUUUAGACUCAUUUUAGUGCUACAUACAUCCGUAUCUAGACAAAUCUAAGACAAGUAAUUCGGAACGGAGGGAGUACAUG